This 443-nucleotide long non-coding RNA is filed under the name Medicago truncatula (barrel medic). RNAcentral's name for it is "long non-coding RNA (MTRU_LNC001382)". Lineage: Eukaryota; Viridiplantae; Streptophyta; Magnoliopsida; Fabales; Fabaceae. The record is from RNAcentral.
UUUCGUUCAAAUUCAAUUCUGCUAUAAAUAACGCUGCUACAGAAGCUAUUUGACAAUAUUUUAUACUAAAUAGCAUAUCGCAAAAUAUGGUAAUUUCUUCAAUUUCCACUACUCUGUAGCGCCAUUAUAGCAUAUAUUUAACCACACUUUUUACUAUGAGUCCAUGACACAUAACUGAUUCAAAAUCUAUUAAGCAAUAAAACGAAACUACGAGUCCAUGACACAUAACUGGUCCAAAAUCUAUUAAGCAAUAAAACGAAACUAUGAGUCCAUGACAGAUCCAAAAUCUAUUAAGCAAUAAAACGAAACUGCGAGUCCAUGACACAUAACUGAUCCAAAAUCUAUUAAGCAAUAAAACGAAAAACUUGCUUUACUACGAGUCCAUGACUCAUAACUGAUCCAAAAUCUAGUAAGCAAUAAGACGAAAAACAUGUUUUGAAAAA